GAUGAAGAACGUAGCGAAAUGCGAUAAGUAAUGUGAAUUGCAGAAUUCAGUGAAUCAUCGAGUCUUUGAACGCACAUUGCGCCCGCUGGUAUUCCGGCGGGCAUGCCUGUUCGAGCGUCAUUUCAACCCUCAAACCCCCGGGUUUGGUGUUGGGGAUCGGCUCUGCCUCACGGCGGUGCCGCCCCCGAAAUACAUUGGCGGUCUCGCUGCAGCCUCCAUUGCGUAGUAGCUAACACCUCGCAACUGGAACGCGGCGCGGCCAUGCCGUAAAACCCCAACUUCUGAAUGUUGACCUCGGAUCAGGUAGGAAUACCCGCUGAACUUAAGCAUAUCAAUAAGCGGAGGA
This 346-nucleotide unclassified non-coding RNA is filed under the name soil metagenome. RNAcentral describes it as "partial contains 5.8S ribosomal RNA, internal transcribed spacer 2, and large subunit ribosomal RNA". The stretch from base 1 to 120 matches the Rfam family "5.8S ribosomal RNA", at positions 35 to 154 of the family's 154-position model. The record is from RNAcentral.